UAUGGCCACAUCACGUUGAAACAUCGGUUCCCGUACAUUCACUGAAGUUAAGCAACGUCGAACCUGGUCAGUUACUAGAUGGGUGACCGCUUGGAAAUACCAUGUGCUGUAAG
This is a non-coding RNA of Acanthosepion pharaonis, 113 nucleotides long. The record is from the annotation of a GenBank genome assembly. NCBI's taxonomy places the organism in Eukaryota, Metazoa, Mollusca, Cephalopoda, Sepiida, Sepiidae.